CACAGAGAAGUAGAGAAAGAAUACAAUGAAGAAGGUUAAUGUUACUCAAAUUACAGAACAAUAUUUGAUCACUUAACAGUUUAGCUUCAUAUAGUCAGGUUUUGAUAUAUCCCUUUCUGAGAUUUAUCAGGAUAUUCAAUCAUUACAAUAAACAAGUAGUAGUGUAAUGGCAAAAAUUACAUUUAAGCAUGAUUCUCUAUAUUAUUCGUAUAAUUUCUGUUUGUGUUUCUCUCACAAUGCUGGAAGAGAAUUUAUCUCAUUCCCACAUGUAGAUUCCGUACACAAAGUCUGGAGACGAAUGCGUACAGGCCUUGUUUGAACCGAUAAAGGUACAAGGUCACAGUAAACUAUCUUUCUGUGAAGAUCCAGUUUUUCCUAGGCCAGU
Molecule: long non-coding RNA, 385 nt
Organism: Sander lucioperca (pikeperch)
Lineage: Eukaryota; Metazoa; Chordata; Actinopteri; Perciformes; Percidae
Exons: 3
Source: RefSeq, a predicted model, not a curated record